GCCUGGUUGGCUCAGUUGGUAGAGUAUGUGACUCUUGAUCUCAAGGUUUUAAGUUCAAGCUUUACACUGGGUG
RNAcentral lists this transfer RNA (73 nucleotides) under Felis catus (domestic cat). It matches the Rfam family "tRNA". From Rfam's summary of the family: Transfer RNA (tRNA) molecules are approximately 80 nucleotides in length. Their secondary structure includes four short double-helical elements and three loops (D, anti-codon, and T loops). Lineage: Eukaryota; Metazoa; Chordata; Mammalia; Carnivora; Felidae. The record is from Rfam by way of RNAcentral.